Non-coding RNA from Microcebus murinus (gray mouse lemur), 1457 nucleotides. Lineage: Eukaryota; Metazoa; Chordata; Mammalia; Primates; Cheirogaleidae. The record is from RefSeq and is a predicted model, not a curated record.
AGAGAGAUGCCAUUGUGCCCGGUGGGGCCCCAGGCCUUCCCUCACCCCCAGGCCAGCCCCAAACCACAGGCCACGUCCUGUUUCUCAGAAAUGCUGCCAUUUCCCAGAGCCCAGGGUUCGUGGGGGGACAGAGGGAGGUGGCUUCACAGCUGCCAGAGGAGGAGGAAGCACCCCCAGGAAACCUGGGGGCCAGGCCUGGCGUCACAAUAGGACGAUCAAGUUUAGGACCAGGAAGCUACCUGGGAAAGCCAAGUGGCAUACAGGCUCAGGCCCAGGCCAGCUGCGCCUGCCCCAGCCCAGAACCUGGCCCCACCAUGCUCUGGGACACACAGGAUUCAGAAUCAUAGACCUCAGCUGGAGUCCAACUCCUCCAUGUAUUAUCGUGUGACCUCGGUCAGUCACUCUAGGAUGUAGUCUAUAAUCCCACCUCACUGGCUUGUCCUAGGGAUCAGAUGGGACAGUAGAUUUGAAAGUGUCUUGUUAACUAGUGGCCAGGACGUCACCACCUCAGCCAGAGCCCACGCUGUGCCCAGCGUGGCCACCAAGCAGGACAGUGGAUCUCCUGGGACUCGCUGCUGGAGGCUCAGGGAGCUCGGGGGCAGAGCUGGGCGGCUCUGGGAGACCACUGUCCCCUCCCCAUCCUCACACUCAAGGGGAGGGAGGUGAGCCAGGGUCGCAUAGCAAGUGAGUGGCCCUUGAAGAAUGGAUUUUAACUCAUCCCUAAACCUUACCUUGCUCCAUCCUCACUCCUGUUUUUCCUACUUGUCCCUCUCCUGUGGCAUCUUCUCAUCACCAAGACUUGCUUCAAUCUCUCCCAUCCAAAAUGCUUCUCUUCCAAGCUGUGUGCCCGGCCUGCCAUAGCCUCUCCUUUACUGCUGGAUUUCUGAAGGGACUUGUCUGCUUCUUCCCUUCCCAGAAACCACCUCGGCACCCCAAGCCCGGCUUCCACCUCUCGGCUAUCCUGACAUUGCUCGCUGCCAUGGUCACCAGAGCCUCCUUGUCCCCACAGAGGACGCUUUGUCUGCCUUGUGGCACUCUCAGCCCCCAACUCUCCUGCCUUUUCCUCUUGCCUCUGUGCUGUUCUUUGCUGGUGCUCCAGGUUCUGUUCUUUUCCCUCCUGUUUACCCUCCGUCUCUGCCAGGCCAGCAUCUCCCCGCUCCUGGCUUUAGUUACCACUGCGGGUCAACAGCUGGCAACUCCCUGUCUGUAGCCCAGCCUGUCUCUCGACCACGACAGGCCCGGAGGGCUGUGGAUAGCGCCUGAGACUCCAGAUGUGCUCAGCUGCAACGCCCGGGCUCCACUCCCCAAGGUGCCACCAACUGAGACACCAGGGCCGAGGGCAGCUGGGCUCUGUGAAUCCCCAGGGCAGAGCUGGCAUCACUGGGACAAUCUUGACAGUCGUGCUGCCUGCCCCCUUUGGUCGGAAGUGGCGAGGGAUGAAGCCCAGAGGGGCGCUG